AACGAACGCUGGCGGCAUGCCUAACACAUGCAAGUCGAACGGGAUCCUGGUUUCGGCCAGGUGAGAGUGGCGGACGGGUGAGUAACGCGUGGGAACCUGCCCAGUGGUGGGGGAUAACUGCGGGAAACUGCAGCUAAUACCGCAUGAGCCCGAAAGGGGAAAGAUUGAUCGCCAUUGGAGGGGCCCGCGUUCGAUUAGGUAGUUGGUGAGGUAACGGCUCACCAAGCCUUCGAUCGAAGCUGGUCUGAGAGGAUGAUCAGCCACACUGGGACUGAGAUACGGCCCAGACUCCUACGGGAGGCAGCAGUGGGGAAUAUUGACAAUGGGCGCAAGCCUGAUCCAGCCAUGCCGCGUGAGUGAUGAAGGCCCUAGGGUUGUAAAGCUCUUUCGCCAGGGACGAUAAUGACGUACCUGAU
Molecule: ribosomal RNA, 416 nt
Filed under: uncultured bacterium
Lineage: Bacteria
Description: bacterial SSU rRNA
Rfam family: Bacterial small subunit ribosomal RNA
Source: RNAcentral